Salvia miltiorrhiza (redroot sage) is the source of this 4678-nucleotide RNA transcript. It is a transcript of the gene named putative late blight resistance protein homolog R1A-10, with no coding region annotated. The transcript is spliced from 4 exons. Lineage: Eukaryota; Viridiplantae; Streptophyta; Magnoliopsida; Lamiales; Lamiaceae. The record is from RefSeq and is a predicted model, not a curated record.
UGCUGCACAAGUCUCUGGAGUCGUUUUGUAGCUGAAGUUGACAGUUGCUAAUUCUUUGAACUCCUCUGUAUCUGCUAAUCAUCCACAAUCUCUCUCUCGCUCUCUCUAAAUUGUGUGAAUUAACAAACCAAAUUGAAGUCCUCCAUUUGCACAAUAUGGCAGCUUACGCUGCUCUCGUUUCACUUGCACGCACAACAGAACUGCUGCUGAAUUCUGAUAAAUAUUCCAUUCCUGUUGAUGAAAAAGCACAAAUUACAUCUAUCCGCGAGUACGCGAUGUUCCUCAUAUCAUCCCUUGAAGAUUUUCCAGAGAGAUCCAGCCGUCUGGAAGGGAAAAUCAAGGAUAUAGCUAAUCAAACCGAAGUUCUCAUCGAAUAUUUUAUGUGGAAGCAAAUUCGGUUGAACUGGUGUAGUGUUCAGAAUCUAUCAAGAUCUGAGUUUGACGAGCUGCUGACAAAAUCACGAGAAGAGAUUGGUUUAAUUGUUAGCCAGACCAUGGAUGGACAAUUCGUGGGUGAUUCAUCUGCUACGAUUUCACCAGCAAGACUCGCACCGACGAACAACAAUGAUGUGGUAAUUGGUUUAGGUGCUGACCUAAUUACAAUUAAGGAUCGACUUUGUGGAGCGUCAUCAAAGCUUCAAGUCAUACCCAUUACAGGAAUGGGCGGGAUAGGUAAAACCACUCUAGCUCGAAAUGCUUAUGAUGAUUCAUCAAUAGUUGGGUACUUUCAUAUUCGUGCUUGGGUCACAGUGUCACAACAUUAUAGUGCACAUAGAAUUCUUUCAACUCUCUUAGAUUCGAUGACUUUGUUUCUGAAAGAGCAAGUGUUAGGAGAAGAGAUUGAUGAAACUGUAAUGGCAGAAAAAGUGUACAAAUGCUUAAAGGGAAGGAGGUAUCUCGUUGUGAUGGAUGAUGUUUGGAGCACAGAGGUUUUGGAUGAUGUAAGGAAACUAUUCCCAGAUGAUGGUAAUGGAAGUCGAAUCAUGUUAACCACAAGACUAUCAAAUGUAGGUCUUUAUGCUGACUCUUCUGGCCCUCUUCAUCAAAUGCGAUUCAUGGAUAAUAAUCAAAGUUGGGAUCUACUUAAGCAGAAGGUGUUCAUGUCUGGCCAAGAUUGUCCUUCAGAAUUGGAAGACAUAGGGAAAAUGAUUGCACGAUGCUGUGGAGGACUGCCUCUAGCGGUUGUCCUUGUUGGAGGCAUCUUGUCUGCAGGUAAGAUGACUCAAGCUUCGUGGAAGGAAGUUGCACAAAAUAUUGCUUCAAUUGUUGAUGAGCAGUUAGAGAAGUUAUUAUCUUUGUGUUACAAACACUUGCCUCAACAUUUGAGGCCAUGCUUUCUAUUAAUUGGAGGCUUUUCAGAAGAUUACGAGAUUCAGGUGUCGAGGCUCAUCAAAUUAUGGGUAGCUGAGGGCUUUCUGAAAUGUGGAAAUAGAUAUAAAAGCUUUGAAGAUGAGGCAGAAGAGUAUUUGGAGGAUCUUGUUAGGAGAAAUCUUGUUUUGGUCGCUGAAAGGAAAGCCAGUGGGAAAAUCAAAAGAUGCAAGCUCCAUGAUCUGGUACGAGACUUGUGUGUAAGAAAAUCCAAUGAUGUUAAUGAGAAGUAUACUACAGCAUUCAUUAAAGAUUUCCGCUACAUCAAUCAUAUUGAUCAUUAUCCAAAAGAAACUUGGCUUCCAACCUUCCUUGCAAUGUUAAGCCAAAGGGUUGCAACUUCCCUACAGCCAGACUUAGUAGGGAACUUCAGAUUGCUGAGGAUAUUGGAUGUGAUAAAUGAUUCUGACAGAUUGCUGCCUUCUCAAGUGUUUGAGCUAUUUCAUUUGAGGUAUUUUGCUUUAGCAUAUUAUGUCAAGAUUCCUCCAUCCAUAUCAAACCUUGAGAAUCUUCAGACUUUAAUCAUUUGUCCUUGGAGAAAAUAUGGGAGGUACCCUGCACAUUUUUCAUCCUUGCCAUUGGAAAUUUGGAGUAUGCCACAGUUAAGGCAUCUUGUCUUCUCCUACUCUUAUAUUUUACCUGAUCCUAAAGACUGUUCAACUCCUCCUCUAGAAAACUUGCAAACACUUUCGGGUGUAUCAAGUCUUGUAUGUAGUAGAAGGGUCAUGAAACUUCUUCCAAAUCUCAAAAAGUUGGGAAUUAUUUACUCUAGGAAUGAAGAUUACAACGUCUACAAUCUUAUACAUCUGCAUCAGCUUGAAAAGUUGAAAAUAACUAGAUGCAGGGAUUCUUCUUGGCUAAGGAAAAAUCCUAUAUUUCCUUUGUCACUGAAAAAAUUAACCUUAUAUGGCGGGGAGUUUCCUUGGAAAGAUAUGGCAGUUGUUGGUGCUUUGCCUAAUCUUGAAGUGCUUAAGCUCAGAUUUUUAGUUUAUGAUGGUGACACAUGGGAAACGACUAAUGGAGGGUUUCUUCAGCUGAAAUUUUUGCUAAUUGAAGAAUCAAAUCUCCAGUAUUGGAUAACUGAAACCAACCACUUCCCUAGACUCAAGAGUCUAAGGCUUCAUUAUUGUUGGGAUCUGAGCCGGAUUCCAGAUGGUAUUGGAGAAAUUCCAACACUUGAACUGAUUGAGGUGGAUGAUGUGAACAAAUCUCUAGUGGAUUCGGCCAAACAAAUACUAGAGGAUCAGCUGGAAUACUACGGAAACAAUGCCCUCCAAGUUCAUUGCAUUCGUGUUUAGGAGGAGAAGGAAUCUGAGCUUUCUUGGUGGCUAUUCACCAGGCCUCUCCGCCUACCUUAAAAGACCACUUGUCCUGGAAAACAAAGAGACAAUCGAAAAAGAAAAAGCUGUUUAGAGCAAGCCAAAUCUGAUAGUUAUGAUCUGCAACAGCUGACAAUAACUAGAACCUGGAGUUCGUCCUAGAUAACUCACAAGUCCAUGGGUUCACUUCUUCAGAAGAAUGAACUCAGACUUGGAAAGGAAACUACAAUAUCAAUAUAUAUUCGUUAUUGAUUCUGGUGCAUGGUGCACUAACUGCUCUUCUGCUACCAAACACUCUGCAGGAGAAGUGGAGUAAGGAAUCUGAAAUUGAAGAGUUCAAUAUCGAUGUAGUUGAUGGGAUGAAAGAAAAAAGUGAAGAUUUUUUGAUGCAAUUGUUGAGAAAGCAAGAGUACAAGGAUAGAAGUUUUAAAACAUUAGGAUUUAUUUAUUCUUAUUUUGUUAGAGGGUAAUUCUAUUCAUAGCCCCCGUUUUACUCCCUAUAGCCCCCAGUCAAAAAUAAUGAAAAAUAUAUUAAUAAAUUUACUACUCUACCCUUAUAGCCCCAAAUUAAAAUUCUAUUAAAUCAAUCCCUACCAUCAUAACCUAUUAAAAUUAUAUUAAAUCAAAUUUCUGAAUCCUGAUGGUUACUGGAGUGCCACAAUCUCUGAGAAAAAGAAUUGGAGGAAGACGACGACAUACUGGAGAAUGUCGUUUGAUGGUGCUCGGAAACGACCUCCUCUACACAAAAUCAUCAACGCAGUCGCCAUCUUUGUCGACAUUGUUAAUUACAGUAGCCAUUGCCAACUUUCUCUUUACACUAUUGUCUGAAAUUUUGUGGGGUUCUUGGAUUGGGGCGGCGUAAUUGGGCUUGACGGAUUUGGCGAAAAGCGAUUUGAGGUAAGCUUUGAUUUUGCGAGCGAGAAUGGAGUGCUUGAGCCUGCCACUUGCCUUCGUUGUUGAAACGCACCACCGGGAACACCAUGCUCUGGUGCCGCUUGUCGCCGUCCGUCAUCGUCGGCCACUGCUGUCCACUGAUUCACUAAUUUGUAAUCCCUCUUCCCCUAGUUUCCUAUUUACCAGCAAUGACCCAAAAGGAAAUAAUAGGAGAAGAAAAUUCCAAUUUUCGUACUUCAAUUUUAAUUCAUUUUUCUCUUAUAAUGAAAAUUAUGACACGCUUUAGAAGUAGUUAAUUCUUACCUUACCCUACUGCAUGUUCUUGGGUGAGGCGAUUUUGAUGGUGGAGUGGUGGUUGAUGAAGGUGUUGAGAUUGUUGGAUCAUUAGAAGUAGAAGUUGUUGGGGGUGAGGUUGCAACAACUUCGGCAAAAUUUCGAUGGAGAAACAACAAUGAAAGUGGUAGCAGCGGCGGUGAAUGACGUGGGGGCUAUGGUGAUAGUAUUAUUUUAAUAAAUUUAAUUUGAGAUUAUGAGGAUAGAAUAGUAAAUUUAUUAAAUAUUUUUAUUAUUUUAUUAUAUAAGGGGCUAUGGUGAGUAAAAUUGAGGCUACGUUGAAUCACCCUUUGUUAGAUUAAUAAGAGUUUUAAGCCCAUUAAGGGCCGUGGGCCAUAAAACUUUGAUUAGAUUUAGAACUUUAAUUUAGCCAUAAAUGAGGGAAGAGGUGUGCAGUAGAGAUUAGGGCCUAGGGGCUUGGACGGCAUUGGGAGUGAGGCGGCCACAUUAAGAGGAAGUUUACUUUAUAUGAUUGAUAAAGAUAAAAUGGAUGAUUGAGUAUUUUUAUCUUUAAUAUUAGGAUUAUUCUAAUUUUAUUUUUUUAAUGAGAUAAAAAUCAAAUAAAACUAAUUUGGAGGAUAAAAAUAAUCAAGAACCUUAAAAUCUCCCAAAAUUGCGAUCCAUGAAAGUAAACAAGAGAUUAAUCUUACUAUUUUUAUCAAUCGAAACUUAUCCAUAAAAGUAAAUGCCCCUAAAAGCUUUGACUUUACUCGUCACUUAUGCAUUGAGACUCGGCGGCGGAAAUAAGGAGAUUGGCGGCUGGG